UCCUUAUUGGAUGAUGACUGUCACGUGUCAUGUCAUGUUCUGAUUGGUCAAUAAAAACAACAAGGCUGUCAUCAUCCAAUAAAAACUUGAAAUGUGACAGUCAAGUCAA
Non-coding RNA from Glycine soja, 109 nucleotides. The record is from Rfam. NCBI's taxonomy places the organism in Eukaryota, Viridiplantae, Streptophyta, Magnoliopsida, Fabales, Fabaceae.